This 424-nucleotide ribosomal RNA is filed under the name uncultured bacterium. RNAcentral's name for it is "bacterial SSU rRNA". It matches the Rfam family "Bacterial small subunit ribosomal RNA", at positions 355 to 772 of the family's 1533-position model. The record is from RNAcentral.
UCGAGAAUUUUUCUCAAUGGGCGAAAGCCUGAAGGAGCGACGCCGCGUGGGGGAUGAAUGGCUUCGGCCCGUAAACCCCUGUCAUUUGCGAACAAACCUUAUUAUUUAAAAGAUGGUGAGCUGAUUGUAGCGAAAGAGGAAGGGACGGCUAACUCUGUGCCAGCAGCCGCGGUAAUACAGAGGUCCCAAGCGUUGUUCGGAUUCACUGGGCGUAAAGGGUGCGUAGGUGGCGGGGUAAGUCUGAUGUGAAAGCUUCGAGCUCAACUCGAAAAUGGCAUUGGAUACUAUUUCGCUGGAGGUUUGGAGGGGGGACUGGAAUUCUCGGUGUAGCAGUGAAAUGCGUAGAUAUCGAGAGGAACACCGGUGGCGAAGGCGAGUCCCUGGACAACACCUGACACUGAGGCACGAAAGCUAGGGGAGCAAA